UACAGAGGUCCCAAGCGUUGUUCGGAUUCACUGGGCGUAAAGGGUGCGUAGGUGGCAUGUUAAGUUUGAUGUGAAAGCUCAGGGCUCAACCCUGAAAUGGCAUUGAAUACUAGCGUGCUGGAGGUUUGGAGGGGGGACUGGAAUUCUUGGUGUAGCAGUGAAAUGCGUAGAUAUCAAGAGGAACACCAGUGGCGAAGGCGAGUCCCUGGACAACACCUGACACUGAGGCACGAAAGCUAGGGGAGCAAACAGG
RNAcentral lists this ribosomal RNA (253 nucleotides) under uncultured bacterium. RNAcentral's name for it is "partial 16S ribosomal RNA". It matches the Rfam family "Bacterial small subunit ribosomal RNA", at positions 524 to 776 of the family's 1533-position model. The record is from RNAcentral.